GAUGAACGCUGGCGGCGUGCCUAAUACAUGCAAGUCGAGCGAACGGACGAGAAGCUUGCUUCUCUGAUGUUAGCGGCGGACGGGUGAGUAACACGUGGAUAACCUACCUAUAAGACUGGGAUAACUUCGGGAAACCGGAGCUAAUACCGGAUAAUAUUUUGAACCGCAUGGGUCAAAAGUGAAAGACGGUCUUGCUGGCACUUAUAGAUGGAUCCGCGCUGCAUUAGCUAGUUGGUAAGGUAACGGCUUACCAAGGCAACGAUGCAUAGCCGACGGCAGAGGGUGAUAGGCCACCUGAGAAGGUGGCCGGCGACCAGACUACUAAGGGACGCAGCAGUAGGGAAUGUUACGCAGUAGGGGGGAACAUGACGGAGCAGCCCGGAGUGAGUGGUGGAGGUCUUGGGAUCGUAAUGCUCUGUUAUGAGUGAUGAACAUAUGUGUCAGUAACUGAGCACAUAUUGACGGUACCUAAUCAGAAAGCAACGGCUAACUACGUG
Molecule: ribosomal RNA, 497 nt
Filed under: uncultured bacterium
Lineage: Bacteria
Description: partial 16S ribosomal RNA
Rfam family: Bacterial small subunit ribosomal RNA
Source: RNAcentral